UAAUGUAUGGGGAUCUGCCCGAUAGAGGGGGGAAACUACUGGAAAACGGUAGGUAAUACCGCAUAAUGUCUACGGACCAAAGCAGGGGGCGUCUUCGGGACCUUGCACUAUCGGAUGAACCCAUAUGGGAUUAGCUAGUAGGUGGGGUAAAGGCUCACCUAGGCGACGAUCUCUAGCUGGUCUGAGAGGAUGAUCAGCCACACUGGGACUGAGACACGGCCCAG
Molecule: ribosomal RNA, 224 nt
Filed under: uncultured bacterium
Lineage: Bacteria
Description: partial 16S ribosomal RNA
Rfam family: Bacterial small subunit ribosomal RNA
Source: RNAcentral